RNAcentral lists this microRNA precursor (76 nucleotides) under Myotis brandtii (Brandt's bat). Its description in RNAcentral is "mir-9229 microRNA precursor family". It matches the Rfam family "mir-9229 microRNA precursor family". The record is from Rfam by way of RNAcentral. Lineage: Eukaryota; Metazoa; Chordata; Mammalia; Chiroptera; Vespertilionidae.
GAGACACCCUUCUGGGGCAAGACUUGCUUCAAUGGGUCUUUGGUGCUCACUGAGUCUGCCCCCUGAGUGUGUCCUU